This 465-nucleotide ribosomal RNA is filed under the name Gemella morbillorum. RNAcentral describes it as "bacterial SSU rRNA". It matches the Rfam family "Bacterial small subunit ribosomal RNA", at positions 28 to 474 of the family's 1533-position model. Lineage: Bacteria; Bacillati; Bacillota; Bacilli; Caryophanales; Gemellaceae. The record is from RNAcentral.
GACGAACGCGGCGGCGUGCCUAAUACAUGCAAGUCGAGCGAAGUUUUUCUGGUGCUUGCACUAGAAAAACUUAGCGGCGAACGGGUGAGUAACACGUAAAGAACCUGCCUCAUAGACUGGGACAACUAUUGGAAACGAUAGCUAAUACCGGAUAACAGCAUUAACUGCAUGGUUGAUGUUUGAAAGUUGGUUAUGCUAACACUAUGAGAUGGCUUUGCGGUGCAUUAGCUAGUUGGUGGGGUAAAGGCCCACCAAGGCGACGAUGCAUAGCCGACCUGAGAGGGUGAUCGGCCACACUGGGACUGAGACACGGCCCAGACUCCUACGGGAGGCAGCAGUAGGGAAUCUUCCGCAAUGGGCGAAAGCCUGACGGAGCAACGCCGCGUGAGUGAAGAAGGAUUUCGGUUCGUAAAGCUCUGUUGUUAGGGAAGAAUGGAUAUGUAGUAACUAUACAUGUAAGAGACG